RNAcentral lists this ribosomal RNA (869 nucleotides) under uncultured bacterium. RNAcentral describes it as "SSU rRNA". It matches the Rfam family "Bacterial small subunit ribosomal RNA", at positions 524 to 1381 of the family's 1533-position model. The record is from RNAcentral.
UACGGAGGGUGCAAGACUGCUACUCGGAGUUACUGGUCCGUGAAGGCCGCGUAUGCGGAUAUUUUACUCGCGAGUGAAAUCCCUGGGUUUAACCUAAGAAUUGCUUUCAAAACUGAAUGCCUACAGUGGGGAACAGGAAAGUGUAAUUCUCGGUGUGGAGGUUAAGUACGUACAUAUCGAGAAGAACACUCGAUGACGAGAGCGCCUUUCUGGAUCCCUACUGAUGAUGAGGCGCGAGAGCGUGGGGAGCAAACACGAUUAGAUACCCCGGUAGUCCACACUGUAAACGAUGAGAACUAGAUGUUGGCCGGCUAUUCCUGGCCAGUAUCGUAGCUAACCCAUUAACUUCUCCCCCUGGGGAGUGCGGUCGCAAGACUAAUACUCAAAGGACUUGACGGGGUCCCGCACAAGCGGUGGAGCAUGUGGUGUAAUUCGAUGCAACGCGAAGAACCUUACCUACCCGGGAAAUCCCCGGAAUUUUCUAGAGAUAGAGAAGUGCUUUCGGGAACCUGGGGACAGGUGUUGCACGGCUGUCGUCACCUCGUGUCGUGAGAGGCUGGGCUACGUCUCGUAACGAGCGCAACCAUCAUCGUUUAGUCACCAGCUGUUACGGCCGGGAACUCUCAAGAAACCGCCCGCGAUAAUCAGGAGGAAGGCGAGGACGCCCUCAAGUCAUCAUGGUCCUUACCGGUAGGGCAACACACCUGCUACACUGGGGAGUACACAGGGUCCUCAAUCUCCAAAGCGGAGAUCAUCUCAAAAAGCUUCUCGUAGUCCGGACCGAAGUCUGCAACUUGACUUCAUGAGGCUGGAAUCCGCUAGUAAUCGCUGGACCAGGAAUUCCGGCGCGUGAAUUCGUUCUCGGGCCU